Molecule: ribosomal RNA, 468 nt
Filed under: uncultured bacterium
Lineage: Bacteria
Description: partial 16S ribosomal RNA
Rfam family: Bacterial small subunit ribosomal RNA
Source: RNAcentral
GACGAACGCUGGCGGCGUGCUUAACACAUGCAAGUCGAACGGAAAGGCCCUGCUUUUGUGGGGUGCUCGAGUGGCGAACGGGUGAGUAACACGUGAGUAACCUGCCCUUGACUUUGGGAUAACUUCAGGAAACUGGGGCUAAUACCGGAUAGGAGCUCCUGCUGCAUGGUGGGGGUUGGAAAGUUUCGGCGGUUGGGGAUGGGCUCGCGGCUUAUCAGCUUGUUGGUGGGGUAGUGGCUUACCAAGGCUUUGACGGGUAGCCGGCCUGAGAGGGUGACCGGCCACAUUGGGACUGAGAUACGGCCCAGACUCCUACGGGAGGCAGCAGUGGGGAAUAUUGCACAAUGGGCGGAAGCCUGAUGCAGCAACGCCGCGUGCGGGAUGACGGCCUUCGGGUUGUAAACCGCUUUCGGCUGUGACGAAGCGUGAGUGACGGUAAUUGGUGAAGAAGCACCGGCUAACUACGUG